This 240-nucleotide ribosomal RNA is filed under the name uncultured bacterium. RNAcentral describes it as "partial 16S ribosomal RNA". It matches the Rfam family "Bacterial small subunit ribosomal RNA", at positions 1265 to 1500 of the family's 1533-position model. The record is from RNAcentral.
AAGCAAAGCCCAAAAAAAGGACGGUCCCACGUUCGGAUUGCAGCCUGCAACUCGGCUGCAUGAAGCUGGAAUCGCUAGUAAUCGCAGAUCAGAAUGCUGCGGUGAAUACGUUCCCGGGUCUUGUACACACCGCCCGUCACACCAUGGGAGUUGGGAAUGCCCGAAGUCAGUGACCCAACCGCAAGGAGGGAGCUGCCGAAGGCAGGCUUGAUAACUGGGGUGAAGUCGUAACAAGGUACC